RNAcentral lists this ribosomal RNA (517 nucleotides) under uncultured bacterium. Its description in RNAcentral is "bacterial SSU rRNA". It matches the Rfam family "Bacterial small subunit ribosomal RNA", at positions 8 to 518 of the family's 1533-position model. The record is from RNAcentral.
AGGGUUCGAUUCUGGCUCAGGAUGAACGCUAGCGACAGGCUUAACACAUGCAAGUCGAGGGGCAGCAUAAAAGUAGCAAUACUUGGUGGCGACCGGCGCACGGGUGAGUAACGCGUAUGCAACCUACCUAUCAGAGGGGAAUAACCCGGCGAAAGUCGGACUAAUACCGCAUAAAACAGGGGCACCGCAUGGUGAUAUUUGUUAAAGAAAUUCGCUGAUAGAUGGGCAUGCGUUCCGUUAGGUAGUUGGUGAGGUAACGGCUCACCAAGCCGACGAUGGAUAGGGGAACUGAGAGGUUGGUCCCCCACACUGGUACUGAGACACGGACCAGACUCCUACGGGAGGCAGCAGUGAGGAAUAUUGGUUAAUGGGCGGGAGCCUGAACCAGCCAAGUCGCGUGAAGGAAGAAGGAUCUAUGGUUCGUAAACUUCUUUUGCAGGGGAAUAAAGUGCAGGACGUGUCCUGUUUUGUAUGUACCCUGAGAAUAAGGAUCGGCUAACUCCGUGCCAGCCGCCGC